RNAcentral lists this ribosomal RNA (466 nucleotides) under uncultured bacterium. Its description in RNAcentral is "bacterial SSU rRNA". It matches the Rfam family "Bacterial small subunit ribosomal RNA", at positions 330 to 792 of the family's 1533-position model. The record is from RNAcentral.
UCCAGACUCCUACGGGAGGCAGCAGUGAGGAAUAUUGGUCAAUGGGCGCAAGCCUGAACCAGCCAAGUCGCGUGAGGGAUGACGGUCCUAUGGAUUGUAAACCUCUUUUGUCGGGGAGCAAGGCCCGCCACGUGUGGCGGGAAGGAGAGUACCCGAAGAAAAAGCAUCGGCUAACUCCGUGCCAGCAGCCGCGGUAAUACGUAGGGAGCGAGCGUUGUCCGGAUUUACUGGGUGUAAAGGGUGCGUAGGCGGCUUGGCAAGUCAGUAGUGAAAUCCAUGGGCUUAACCCAUGAACUGCUAUUGAAACUGUCGAGCUUGAGUGAAGUAGAGGUAGGCGGAAUUCCCGGUGUAGCGGUGAAAUGCGUAGAGAUCGGGAGGAACACCAGUGGCGAAGGCGGCCUACUGGGCUUUAACUGACGCUGAGGCACGAAAGCGUGGGUAGCAAACAGGAUUAGAUACCCGUGUA